AGUAACACGUGGAUAACAUACCUAUAAGACUGGGAUAACUUCGGGAAACCGGAGCUAAUACCGGAUAAUAUAUUGAACCGCAUGGUUCAAUAGUGAAAGACGGUUUUGCUGUCACUUAUAGAUGGAUCCGCGCCGCAUUAGCUAGUUGGUAAGGUAACGGCUUACCAAGGCAACGAUGCGUAGCCGACCUGAGAGGGUGAUCGGCCACACUGGAACUGAGACACGGUCCAG
This 231-nucleotide ribosomal RNA is filed under the name uncultured Staphylococcus sp. RNAcentral describes it as "partial 16S ribosomal RNA". It matches the Rfam family "Bacterial small subunit ribosomal RNA", at positions 109 to 334 of the family's 1533-position model. The record is from RNAcentral. Lineage: Bacteria; Bacillati; Bacillota; Bacilli; Caryophanales; Staphylococcaceae.